Molecule: ribosomal RNA, 393 nt
Filed under: uncultured bacterium
Lineage: Bacteria
Description: partial 16S ribosomal RNA
Rfam family: Bacterial small subunit ribosomal RNA
Source: RNAcentral
AUACGGAGGAUCCGAGCGUUAUCCGGAUUUAUUGGGCUUAAAGGGAGCGUAGGUGGAUUGUUAAGUCAGUUGUGAAAGUUUGCGGCUCAACCGUAAAAUUGCAGUUGAAACUGGCAGUCUUGAGUACAGUAGAGGUGGGCGGAAUUCGUGGUGUAGCGGUGAAAUGCUUAGAUAUCACGAAGAAAUCCGAUUGCGAAGGCAGCUCACUAGACUGUUACUGACACUGAUGCUCGAAAGUGUGGGUAUCAAACAGGAUUAGAUACCCUGGUAGUCCACACAGUAAACGAUGAAUACUCGCUGUUUGCGAUAUACAGUAAGCGGCCAAGCGAAAGCAUUAAGUAUUCCACCUGGGGAGUACGCCGGCAACGGUGAAACUCAAAUGAAUUGACGGGG